RNAcentral lists this ribosomal RNA (1540 nucleotides) under Klebsiella aerogenes. RNAcentral describes it as "bacterial SSU rRNA". It matches the Rfam family "Bacterial small subunit ribosomal RNA". Lineage: Bacteria; Pseudomonadati; Pseudomonadota; Gammaproteobacteria; Enterobacterales; Enterobacteriaceae. The record is from RNAcentral.
AAAUUGAAGAGUUUGAUCAUGGCUCAGAUUGAACGCUGGCGGCAGGCCUAACACAUGCAAGUCGAGCGGUAACACAGAGAGCUUGCUCUCGGGUGACGAGCGGCGGACGGGUGAGUAAUGUCUGGGAAACUGCCUGAUGGAGGGGGAUAACUACUGGAAACGGUAGCUAAUACCGCAUAACGUCGCAAGACCAAAGUGGGGGACCUUCGGGCCUCAUGCCAUCAGAUGUGCCCAGAUGGGAUUAGCUAGUAGGUGGGGUAAUGGCUCACCUAGGCGACGAUCCCUAGCUGGUCUGAGAGGAUGACCAGCCACACUGGAACUGAGACACGGUCCAGACUCCUACGGGAGGCAGCAGUGGGGAAUAUUGCACAAUGGGCGCAAGCCUGAUGCAGCCAUGCCGCGUGUAUGAAGAAGGCCUUCGGGUUGUAAAGUACUUUCAGCGAGGAGGAAGGCGUUAAGGUUAAUAACCUUGGCGAUUGACGUUACUCGCAGAAGAAGCACCGGCUAACUCCGUGCCAGCAGCCGCGGUAAUACGGAGGGUGCAAGCGUUAAUCGGAAUUACUGGGCGUAAAGCGCACGCAGGCGGUCUGUCAAGUCGGAUGUGAAAUCCCCGGGCUCAACCUGGGAACUGCAUUCGAAACUGGCAGGCUAGAGUCUUGUAGAGGGGGGUAGAAUUCCAGGUGUAGCGGUGAAAUGCGUAGAGAUCUGGAGGAAUACCGGUGGCGAAGGCGGCCCCCUGGACAAAGACUGACGCUCAGGUGCGAAAGCGUGGGGAGCAAACAGGAUUAGAUACCCUGGUAGUCCACGCCGUAAACGAUGUCGACUUGGAGGUUGUGCCCUUGAGGCGUGGCUUCCGGAGCUAACGCGUUAAGUCGACCGCCUGGGGAGUACGGCCGCAAGGUUAAAACUCAAAUGAAUUGACGGGGGCCCGCACAAGCGGUGGAGCAUGUGGUUUAAUUCGAUGCAACGCGAAGAACCUUACCUACUCUUGACAUCCAGAGAACUUAGCAGAGAUGGUUUGGUGCCUUCGGGAACUGUGAGACAGGUGCUGCAUGGCUGUCGUCAGCUCGUGUUGUGAAAUGUUGGGUUAAGUCCCGCAACGAGCGCAACCCUUAUCCUUUGUUGCCAGCGGUUAGGCCGGGAACUCAAAGGAGACUGCCAGUGAUAAACUGGAGGAAGGUGGGGAUGACGUCAAGUCAUCAUGGCCCUUACGAGUAGGGCUACACACGUGCUACAAUGGCAUAUACAAAGAGAAGCGACCUCGCGAGAGCAAGCGGACCUCAUAAAGUAUGUCGUAGUCCGGAUUGGAGUCUGCAACUCGACUCCAUGAAGUCGGAAUCGCUAGUAAUCGUAGAUCAGAAUGCUACGGUGAAUACGUUCCCGGGCCUUGUACACACCGCCCGUCACACCAUGGGAGUGGGUUGCAAAAGAAGUAGGUAGCUUAACCUUCGGGAGGGCGCUUACCACUUUGUGAUUCAUGACUGGGGUGAAGUCGUAACAAGGUAACCGUAGGGGAACCUGCGGUUGGAUCACCUCCUUA